RNAcentral lists this ribosomal RNA (435 nucleotides) under uncultured bacterium. RNAcentral's name for it is "partial 16S ribosomal RNA". It matches the Rfam family "Bacterial small subunit ribosomal RNA", at positions 29 to 507 of the family's 1533-position model. The record is from RNAcentral.
AACGAACGCUGGCGGCAUGCCUAACACAUGCAAGUCGAACGAUUGCCCUCGGCUGUUGGUGGCUCACGGGUGCGUAACGCGGGGGAAUCUGCCCUUGUGUCCGGAAUAACAGCUGGAAACGGCUUCUAAUACCGGAGGAUAAUGCCAGAUCAAAGAUCUAUCGCCUGGGGAUGAGGUCGCGUUGGAUUAGGUAGUGGGUUGGGUAAGGGCCUACCAAGCUGACGGUCCAUAGCUGGUCUGAGAGGGUGCUCAGCCACACUGGGACUGAGACACGGCCCAGACUCGUACGGAAGGGAGCAGAGGGGAAUAUUGGACGAUGGGCGCAAGCCUGAUCCAGCCAUGCCGCGUGAGUGAUGAAGGCGCUAGGGUUGUAAAGCUCUUUUACACGGGAAGAUAAUGACUGUACCGGGAGAAUAAGCCCCGGCUAACUCCGUG